Oryzias melastigma (Indian medaka) is the source of this 1989-nucleotide RNA transcript. RefSeq lists it as uncharacterized. The record is from RefSeq and is a predicted model, not a curated record. The transcript is spliced from 4 exons. NCBI's taxonomy places the organism in Eukaryota, Metazoa, Chordata, Actinopteri, Beloniformes, Adrianichthyidae.
UCCUGUUACCUAACUGUCAAAACUACGUCACGGGGUCACAGGCUUAUGCAUCGAGUGCCGGAACAUCGAGCCGCCGCCGGCAAACGACGCAUGCGCACUGAGGACUCCAUCCCUAAUUCUGAAUUUGAGCUGGGAAAACGUCAGGGAUUGAAGAAAACAGACACCUUCGCAAUGGAGAACAACCAGGAAUCACUGCUCACUGAAAUAAUGAGAUCCCUUCAAUCAAGAAUCAGUCAUGCUGUUGGUCAGCCUAAUUUAGAUUUGGACUAUUUUCAGUAUGUUGUGAAUCAGGAGGUGUUUAUACUGACAUCUGCUCAGACCAUUUUUCCGAUACCCUUGGAUAUUGUGGAGUGCCUAUUAAGCCUUCAAAGAAAAAUUAAUGAAGCUCUCUCUCAAGACAUGCCUAAAGUUUUUGUUACAGAGGAAAGGAGUGGAUGUGGACGACCAAAACUGCAAGUUUCUGAAGACAUGCUAACCCAAAUGAUAGAGCUGUCCUUGCCUGUGUCAUGUAUUGCAAACUUGCUGGGAGUAAGUGAAUCCACAGUCUUCCGCCGCAUGCGUGAUCAUGGGUUGUCAUCAAGGUCUUGCUACAGCAACUUGACUGACUCAGUACUAGACAAUGCAGUUUUGUUGAUAAAAAACAGACUACCAAAUGCAGGGUACAGGAUGGUUAAAGGUUGUUUGCAAGCAGAGGGUCACAAAAUUCAAUGGGAACGCAUCAAAAAUUCAAUGCACAGAGUGGAUGCCGCAGGAGUUUUGGACAGAUUGAUGCACCUUGGAUGCAUUGUCAGAAGGACAUACAGUGUGCGACAUCCACUGUCCUUAGUACACAUUGACACCAAUCAUAAGUUGAUCAGGUACAAUAUUGUCAUUUUUGGGGGAAUCGAUGGGUUUUCAAGAAAGGUAAGUACAUCCUUGCCAGAAAGACAGCUUGUGGUGCAUUAUAAUUUCUAAUAUAUUAAUUUUCUUUUUGUUUUUUUGUGAGCAGAUCAUGUACCUGGAGCCUGCAACAAACAAUAGAUCACAGACUGCUCUCACAUUUUUCCUGAAGGCUGUGGAAAACCAUGGAUGGCCAUCCAGGUAUCUUGUGAAAUACUUCUCUUUUUCUUAAAUUUCAAUUGUUUUGGUCUCUUAUUUUCUUUUGUAAUUUCAGGGUCAGAGGCGAUGAGGGUGUUGAAAACGUGGGAAUAGCUGAAGCCAUGUUUAGUGUGAAAGGGACUGGAAGAGGCAGCUUUAUUGCUGGAAAGAGCGUUCACAAUCAAAGGUCUUCCCUUUUGCACUCAAUAUAAUUUUUUUUUAUACAAAAGUGAUCAUAUGACAUCAUUUGGCUAUUUAACUACCAUCUGAAAUGAGUGAAACAAUUCUAUUUGUCUUGUAGCUUUUCUUAAAUUAUGCCAUCUAAUCAUAUCUUUUUUUUUUGCACUAGGAUUGAGCGUCUAUGGCGUGACGUUUGGACAAGUGUAACGCAGCUUUACUAUGAAGUCCUUCACGGCCUAGAGGAAGACGGGCUCCUGGAUCUCUCAGAUAUCCUGCAUUUGUUUUGUGUACAUUAUAUCUUUCUUCCUCGACUGGCAAAUGCACUUCAUACCUUUACCGAGGGAUGGGACAAUCACCCUCUGAAGAGUGAGGGGGGCCUCUCACCCAAUCAGCUCUGGGUUUUGGGACACAUGCAAAGACCUGCUGCAGACACUGAAGAAGACCCACAGAACCUGAAGCUGUUUGGAACUGACUGGGAGACAUUUGACUGUGUCAGAGAAGAACCUGUUGGUGUUCAAGUUCCAGAAACUGAGUGUCCUCUGGAUCCAGCUGCAAUGGAAGCCAUCAAGUCCGUUAUCAACCCUCUGGCACCAUCUCAAUCAUUCGGGAGAGACUUAUUUCUAACUAUGAUUCAGCUUGUUCAAAGUGUUGCUGGAACAAGUCACACCAUUUAGGGACUUCCUAAGCUGUCACACAAACCUCACAUUUCCCAAAAUGCUUUUAGUCAAAUAA